UACGUAGGGAGCAAGCGUUGUCCGGAAUCAUUGGGCGUAAAGCGCGCGUAGGUGGCCCAGUAAGUCCGUUCUGAAAGUCACAGGCUCAACCUGUGAAAGCGGAUGGAUACUGCUGGGCUAGAGUCCGGAAGAGGCGAGUGGAAUUCCUGGUGUAGCGGUGGAAUGCGCAGAUAUCAGGAGGAACACCAACGGCGAAGGCAGCUCGCUGGGACGGUACUGACGCUGAGGCGCGAAAGCGUGGGGAGCGAACAGG
Molecule: ribosomal RNA, 253 nt
Filed under: uncultured bacterium
Lineage: Bacteria
Description: partial 16S ribosomal RNA
Rfam family: Bacterial small subunit ribosomal RNA
Source: RNAcentral